This 399-nucleotide non-coding RNA is filed under the name Plasmodium yoelii yoelii. Its description in RNAcentral is "Bacterial small subunit ribosomal RNA". It matches the Rfam family "Bacterial small subunit ribosomal RNA", at positions 1 to 428 of the family's 1533-position model. Lineage: Eukaryota; Apicomplexa; Aconoidasida; Haemosporida; Plasmodiidae. The record is from Rfam by way of RNAcentral.
UAUAUUGCGAGUUUGAUCCUAGCUCAGAAUGAACGCUAGAAAUAUACAUUACACAUGCAAAUUUAUGAUAAUAUCAUAGUGAAUAGGUGAGGAUAUAUAAAUUUUUAAUUUUAAAUAGAUUAUAAUAUAUAAUAAUCUAUAAGCGCAUUUAUCUAUAUAAUUGUACUAUAUUAAAAAUUAUUAUUGUUUAAAAUAAAAUUUAUAUUUGAUUAACUAGUUGGUAAAAUAAAAGCUUACCAAGGUUAUGAUCAAAAAUUGGUUUUAAAGAAUGUACAAUCACAUUAGGAUUGAAAUAAAGCCUAAAUUUUUUUUUAAUCAGCAGUGAGGAAUAUUUUACAAUGAGCGUAAGCUUGAUAAAAGUAUAUUUCUUAAGGAUGACAGUAUAUUUUUAUAUUGAAA